Molecule: ribosomal RNA, 467 nt
Filed under: uncultured bacterium
Lineage: Bacteria
Description: bacterial SSU rRNA
Rfam family: Bacterial small subunit ribosomal RNA
Source: RNAcentral
GAUGAACGCUGGCGGCGUGCCUAAUACAUGCAAGUCGAGCGAACGGAUAAGGAGCUUGCUCCUUUGAAGUUAGCGGCGGACGGGUGAGUAACACGUGGGUAACCUACCUAUAAGACUGGAAUAACUUCGGGAAACCGGAGCUAAUGCCGGAUAACAUUUGGAACCGCAUGGUUCUAAAGUAAAAGAUGGUUUUGCUAUCACUUAUAGAUGGACCCGCGCCGUAUUAGCUAGUUGGUAAGGUAACGGCUUACCAAGGCAACGAUACGUAGCCGACCUGAGAGGGUGAUCGGCCACACUGGAACUGAGACACGGUCCAGACUCCUACGGGAGGCAGCAGUAGGGAAUCUUCCGCAAUGGACGAAAGUCUGACGGAGCAACGCCGCGUGAGUGAUGAAGGUUUUCGGAUCGUAAAACUCUGUUAUUAGGGAAGAACAAAUGUGUAAGUAACUGUGCACAUCUUGACGGUA